UGGGGAAUUUUGCACAAUGGGGGAAACCCUGAUGCAGCGACGCCGCGUGAUUUAGAAGGCCUUCGGGUUGUAAAAAUCUUUUCUAUGGGAAGAAAAUGACAGUACCAUAGGAAUAAGGACCGGCUAAUUACGUGCCAGCAGCCGCGGUAAUACGUAAGGUCCGAGCGUUGUCCGGAAUCAUUGGGCGUAAAGGGUACGUAGGCGGGUAAGCAAGUUAGAAGUGAAAUCCUAUAGCUCAACUAUAGUAAGCUUUUAAAACUGCUCAUCUUGAGGUAUGGAAGGGAAAGUGGAAUUCCUAGUGUAGCGGUGAAGUGCGCAGAUAUUAGGAGGAAUACCGGUGGCGAAGGCGACUUUCUGGCCAUAACCUGACGCUGAGGUACGAAAGCGUGGGUAGCAAACAGG
Molecule: ribosomal RNA, 402 nt
Filed under: bacterium
Lineage: Bacteria
Description: partial 16S ribosomal RNA
Rfam family: Bacterial small subunit ribosomal RNA
Source: RNAcentral